This 939-nucleotide ribosomal RNA is filed under the name uncultured archaeon. RNAcentral's name for it is "bacterial SSU rRNA". It matches the Rfam family "Archaeal small subunit ribosomal RNA", at positions 1 to 922 of the family's 1478-position model. The record is from RNAcentral.
UUCCGGUUGAUCCUGCCGGAGGUCACUGCUAUUGGGAUUCGGCUAAGCCAUGCAAGCGGAGGGCGCGGUCGAAAGAUCGUGGCCCCACACACUGCUCAGUAACACGUAGUCAACCUACCCUUGGGACGGGGACAACCUCGGGAAACUGAGGCUAAUCCCCGAUAGGUGAGGGACGCUGGAAUGCCUCCUCGCCCAAAGCUCCGGCGCCCAAGGAUGGGACUGCGGUCUAUCAGGCUGUUGGUGGUGUAACGGACCACCAAACCUACGACGGGUACGGGCGAUGGGAGUCGGAGCCCGGAGAUGGGGACUGAGACAAGGCCCCAGGCCCUACGGGGCGCAGCAGGCGCGAAAACUCCGCAAUGCGCGCAAGCGUGACGGGGGAAUCCCAAGUGCCGUUGGUCUUAUGAUCGACGGUUUUUAGGAAGUCUAAGGAGCUUCCAGAAUAAGGGCUGGGCAAGACUGGUGCCAGCCGCCGCGGUAACACCAGCAGCCCAAGUGGUGACCACGAUUAUUGGGCCUAAAGCGCUCGUAGCCGGAUCAGCAAGUCCCUUGUGAAAUCGGGCCGCCUAACGGUUCGGCGUGCAAGGGAUACUGUUGGUCUUGAGGCCGGGAAAGGUCGGAGGUACUCCUGGGGUAGCGGUGAAAUGCUCUAAUCCUAGGGGGACCACCAGUGGCGAAGGCGUCCGACCAGAACGGACCUGACGGUGAGGGGCGAAGGCUAUGGGAGCGAACGGGAUUAGAUACCCCGGUAGUCCUAGCUGUAAAGCAUGCGGGCCAUGUGUCUAGCGCUCCUUGAGGGCGCUAGGUGCCGGAGGGAAGCCGAUUAAGCCCGUCCGCCUGGGAAGUACGGGCGCAAGGGCUGAAACAUCAAAGACAAUCGGCGGGGGGAGCAUUACAGAGGUCGCGAUCCUGCGGGUUCAAUCUGGACUCAUCGACGGU